GGACUUGUAGUUUAUUGGUAAAAUGCCUCGUUCACAUCGAGGAGACAGAAAGUUCGAUUCUUUCCAAGUCCA
Molecule: transfer RNA, 72 nt
Filed under: bacterium
Lineage: Bacteria
Description: tRNA-Val
Rfam family: tRNA
About the family: Transfer RNA (tRNA) molecules are approximately 80 nucleotides in length.
Source: RNAcentral